Molecule: ribosomal RNA, 251 nt
Filed under: uncultured Pseudomonas sp.
Lineage: Bacteria; Pseudomonadati; Pseudomonadota; Gammaproteobacteria; Pseudomonadales; Pseudomonadaceae
Description: partial 16S ribosomal RNA
Rfam family: Bacterial small subunit ribosomal RNA
Source: RNAcentral
CAGAGGGUACAAACGUUGCUCGGAAUCACUGGGCGUAAAGCGCGCGUAGGUGGUUUGUUAAGUUGGAUGUGAAAGCCCCGGGCUCAACCUGGGAACUGCAUCCAAAACUGGCAAGCUAGAGUACGGUAGAGGGUGGUGGAAUUUCCUGUGUAGCGGUGAAAUGCGUAGAUAUAGGAAGGAACACCAGUGGCGAAGGCGACCACCUGGACUGAUACUGACACUGAGGCGCGAGAGCGUGGGGAGCAAACAGG